This 253-nucleotide ribosomal RNA is filed under the name uncultured bacterium. RNAcentral's name for it is "partial 16S ribosomal RNA". It matches the Rfam family "Bacterial small subunit ribosomal RNA", at positions 524 to 776 of the family's 1533-position model. The record is from RNAcentral.
UACAGAGGUCUCAAGCGUUGUUCGGAUUCAUUGGGCGUAAAGGGUGCGUAGGUGGCGGGGUAAGUCAGGUGUGAAAUUUCGGAGCUUAACUCCGAAACUGCACUUGAUACUGCCUUGCUUGAGGACUGGAGAGGAGACUGGAAUUCACGGUGUAGCAGUGAAAUGCGUAGAGAUCGUGAGGAAGACCAGUGGCGAAGGCGGGUCUCUGGACAGUUCCUGACACUGAGGCACGAAGGCCAGGGGAGCAAACGGG